This 839-nucleotide ribosomal RNA is filed under the name uncultured eukaryote. RNAcentral describes it as "SSU rRNA". It matches the Rfam family "Eukaryotic small subunit ribosomal RNA", at positions 635 to 1426 of the family's 1831-position model. The record is from RNAcentral.
CGGUGUUCAACUGGCGUGCCCGCGGGACGUCCUGCCGGUGAGCUCAGCCCGCGAGGGCGGCUCAACUUGAAAUCCCAUCGCGGUGCUCUUCAUUGAGUGUCGAGGUGGGCCGGCACGAUUACUUUUGAACAAAUUAGAGUGCUUAAAGCAGGCUAAAAUUUUGCCUGAAUACUGUGUAUAUGGAAUAAUGGAAUAGGACCUCGGUUCUAUUUUGUUGGUUUUCGGAACCCCGAGGUAAUGAUUAAUAGGAACGGAUGGGGGCAUUCGUAUUGCGACGUUAGAGGUGAAAUUCUUGGAUCGUCGCAAGACGGACUAAAGCGAAAGCAUUUGCCAAAAACGCUUUCAUUGAUCAAGAACGAAAGUUAGAGGUUCGAAGGCGAUCAGAUACCGCCCUAGUUCUAACCAUAAACUAUGCCAGCUAGCGAUCCGCCGACGUCCCUCUGAUGACUCGGCGGGCAGCUUCCGGGAAACCAAAGCUUUUGGGUUCCGGGGGAAGUAUGGUUGCAAAGCUGAAACUUAAAGGAAUUGACGGAAGGGCACCACCAGGAGUGGAGCCUGCGGCUUAAUUUGACUCAACACGGGAAACCUCACCAGGCCCUGACACUGGAAGGAUUGACAGAUUGAGAGCUCUUUCUUGAUUCAGUGGGUGGUGGUGCAUGGCCGUUCUUAGUCGGUGGAGCGAUUUGUCAGGUUAAUUCCGAUAACGGACGAGACUCUGACCUGAUAACUAGACGCACUUGCGGCAUCUCAAAGGUCCGCCGGCGGCUGGCUUUGCGCCCGUCGUCGCGCGCGAUUUUUACUGCCGGCGUACAAUAAAUUCUUCUUAGAGGGACAAGUGG